RNAcentral lists this ribosomal RNA (1846 nucleotides) under Nanobdellota archaeon. RNAcentral describes it as "bacterial LSU rRNA". It matches the Rfam family "Archaeal large subunit ribosomal RNA", at positions 1145 to 2987 of the family's 2987-position model. The record is from RNAcentral. Lineage: Archaea; Nanobdellati; Nanobdellota.
UGUUAAAGGGUGAAAGGUGUUUAACAUCAUAGACAGCAGGAAGGUAUGCUCAGAAGCAGCAAUCCUUUAAAAAGUGCGUAAUAGCUUACCUGUCAAGACAUUAAGCCCUGAAAAUGGACGGGACUAAACUGAUUACCGAUAUUGCAAACCAUCCGCUUAUAGUGGAUGUGUAGUAGGCAGGCGCUUUGUUAGGGUAGAAGUUUUUUCGCAAGAAAAGAUGGACCUAGUAAAGAUGAAAAUCCUGGUGGUAGUAAGAUCUAAAUAAGGUGAGAAUCCUUAAUACCGAAAGGGCAAGGUUUCCUCAGCACUGGAAUUCAGCUGAGGGUAAGUCGAUCCUAACCAAGUCCAUAACUUGGACAAGGGGAAAGGGAAAAAGGUUAAAAUUCCUUUACUAUUUAAGUACACACGGUAACGUAAGACCAAUUCUAGACAGUUCUGGCUAAAUCAAUCUUAAUCGUCGUUAAGAUCAAUUAAGAUAAGGCAGGGAAGUACCGUAAUGGUGAGAACCUGCUUAAACUUAAGAUGUGUCGACCUUGAGUCGAUUUGGUUGAUGCCAGGAUUUCGUAAAAAUAGAAUUGGUAAGUAACUUGAAUAAUCGUACCCAGAACCAGCACAGGUGCCCAGGGUGAAUAGCCCAAGGUAUGUGGGACCAAUUUAGCUAAGGGAAUUCAGCAAAUUAGCAGCGUAGCUUCGGUUUAAGCUGUUCCUGUGUUUGUAAUCAUAUGAUUGCGAUUACAGGAUUCAAUAACAAAGGAGGUCCGACUGUUUAAUAAAAACUUAACCUUCUGCUACUCCGAAAGGACUUGUAUAGAAGGUGACGUCUGCCCAGUGCUAGUACUCAAAUCUCAGUUUCAACUGAAGUAAGAGCUAGUAAACGGCGGGGGUAACUAUAACUCUCUUAAGGUAGCGAAAUACCUUGUCGUUUAAUUGACGACUCGCAUGAAGGCGCAACGAGACUUCCACUGUCCCUAGCUAAAAUCCCCCGAACACACUUUACUGGUGCAAAGGCCAGUGACUUCCAGUGGGAAGCGAAGACCCCGUAGAACUUUACUACAACCUAUGAGUGUGAGGUAGGUUUCAUUGCUCAGUAUAGGUGGGAGUCGUUCAAACUUUUCUUUCGGGAAAAGUGUAGACUCAAGUGAGAUACCACCCAAUAAAACCUGCUUCACUAACUAGAAAUCUAGGACAUUUAUAGGCGGGUAGUUUGGCUGGGGCGGCCCCUGCUGAAAAGAUAUCAGUAGGGCCCAAAGGUCGGCUCAACAGGUUUAGAACUCCUGUGAAGAGUGCAAGAGCAAAAGCCGGCCUGACUGGAUUCUGACAAACAAAGAAUCCAGAGACGAAAGUCAGGUCUAGCGAACCUCUAAACCUCCUUGAUGGGGGUUAGAGAUGACAGAAAAGCUAUCUCGGGGAUAACAGAGUCGUCGCGCCUAAGAGCUCAAAUCGACGGCGCGGCUUGCUACAUCGAUGUCGGCUCUCCGUAUCCUGGUUGUGCAGAAGCGACCAAGGGUGGGGGUGUUCACCCAUUAAAACGGAUCGUGAGCUGGGUUUAAUACGUUGUGAGACAGUAUGUAUGAUAUCUACUGGAAGUGUUGAUGUUUGAUAGGAAGGACCAUUUAGUACGAGAGGAACAAUGGUUCGAGGCCUCUGGUGUAUCUGUUGUCCGACAGGGCAGGCAGAGCAGCUACGCCUUUAUUGGAUAAGUGCUGAAAGCAUCUAAGCACGAAGCUGACCUAGAAAAGAAACAUCUUAGAGUACCUGUAAAAGACAGGUUCGAUAGGACUGGCGUGUAAGUUUCAAGCUCCGGCGAGAAAUUUAGCGUGCGGUUACUAACAACUCAUUCUUACAA